RNAcentral lists this microRNA precursor (102 nucleotides) under Marmota monax (woodchuck). The record is from RNAcentral. Lineage: Eukaryota; Metazoa; Chordata; Mammalia; Rodentia; Sciuridae.
AGCUACAUUGCUAGAUCAUAUGGCAAGAUAUGAUUAGUUUUGUAAGAAACUGCCAAACUGUCUUCCAACAUGGCUACACCAUUUUGCAUUCCCACAAGCAAU